Molecule: long non-coding RNA, 1273 nt
Organism: Daucus carota subsp. sativus
Lineage: Eukaryota; Viridiplantae; Streptophyta; Magnoliopsida; Apiales; Apiaceae
Exons: 4
Source: RefSeq, a predicted model, not a curated record
UACCUUUUACUUAUAAUUAUUUAAUCAAGUAAAACUGUCAGUUUUUUCUAUUCUAUACACAAGCACAUAUGUACAGGAGAUCAGAGCGAUGGUGCAGAGCGAUCGACACCUAGUUCAUCUCUGUAUUAGGGUUCAAAUCGGAAGCUAUUGAAGGGUGCCAGAAGCUUCAAUUUAGUUCCUAUUUAUAUCUCUUAAUUUUUCUUGGCAAGGUUUUCCUUUAUAGUCCUGCAGAUGGGAGGUGCACUAAUUUGUGCACAAAGUACAUUUGUGAAGAGGAAUGUACUUGUUCUAGACAGAAUUGAAUGAUCUCCAUUUCCAAAUUUUGGCCAAAAAGUAUGUCAGGUCUUUCUACUAUAUCCUUCAUUGGUGGAUCUAGGGAAUUGAGGAGAAUAAUAAUAGCCAGAGGAGGAUAAGAGUAUGGUUGGACUCUGUUCCAGCAUUUCUAGUUCCUUGGACAGAAAAAAUAGUUCUUUCUCCUCUGUUCCAACAUUUCUGGUUUCACUUUGUGAUCUUAACUGCUCUUAAUUAACACAACUAAAUUAUAUCAUCCUGAUUAUUAUAAAUGAAAUAAGCUGAUUUGACUUUAAUUUCUGUAAAAUAAUAACUACAUGAUAUGUUUUUAAGUUUGAGUAAAAUCCAUUUCUAACAAUAUCUUAUUUAUUUUUCUUGUUCUGGGGUAAAUUGCAGACCGGGCUUCUUUUCUUUUAUGAUGGCUUCUGGGGCUUUUAUCCUCGUAUUCAAGCUAUAUUUACAUUCCACAACAAUGAAUGAUGCUUGAAAAAGAGAGGGCUUCAGGAAUGUACAGACUUUCAUUGUAUAUCAUGUCAUAAGUUGUAGGCGACCUCCCCAUGGAGCUUGUACUCCCAACUGUUUUCAUUAUCAUAACAUAUUUGAUGGCAGGCCUGAAGCGAACCUCUAAAAUUUCUUCAUGACCUUAUUUUCACUAUUAUAUAAUGCACUGGUUUCUCAAGGCCUCUUAAGUCUUUUGAUGACUCUAAGUCUUCACUGAGCCUCCCACUAGUCUGUACAAAUUGACUUUUGGAGCUUCUGCGACUAAUCUCACUUCAUUGAAGGAUUGCAGGUGUCUCGUCCACUCCUAGGCAGCACUCCUAGGCGGCAAAAGCGCAGCUUGAUUAUGAUGGAAAUAAUUAGUUUUAUUGUGGCAUCUCUCUUGUAUAAUAAUUUUACUUGUGUUAUUAGUGAUUUUUAUUAAACAGAAUUAGUGACUUAUUUUUGGUUUUAUGGAAGUUGAUACUAUGGUUUGUUUUUAUUA